CCUACGGGUGGCAGCAGUGAGGAAUAUUGGUCAAUGGCCGGAAGGCUGAACCAGCCAAGCCGCGUGAAGGACGAAGGUGCCAAGCAUUGUAAACUUCUUUUGUGCGGGCGCAAUAAUGGUCACGUGUGGCCAGACGAGAGUACCGUACGAAUAAGCAUCGGCUAACUCCGUGCCAGCAGCCGCGGUAAUACGGGGGAUGCAAGCGUUAUCCGGAUUUAUUGGGUUUAAGGGGUGCGUAGGCUGUGAGGUAAGUCAUCGGUGAAAUGCACGCGCUCAACGGGGUGAAGUGCCAUUGAGACUGCCUUGCUGGAAUGCGGAUGCCGUGGGAGGAAUGUGUGGUGUAGCGGUGAAAUGCAUAGAUAUCACACAGAACACCGAUUGCGAAGGCAUCUCACGAAUCCGCGAUUGACGCUGAUGCACGAAAGCGUGGGUAUCAAACAGGAUUAGAUACCCUAGUAGUC
Molecule: ribosomal RNA, 461 nt
Filed under: uncultured bacterium
Lineage: Bacteria
Description: partial 16S ribosomal RNA
Rfam family: Bacterial small subunit ribosomal RNA
Source: RNAcentral